UCCCUUUUUCUUCCUAUACGUGCCUCUCUCCUCUCAGCCGCCCCUUCAUCUUUCUCUCAAAUCAUCUCCUCUCAAGCUCCAUGUCUCCCCUAUCUUCCUCUCUCACUUCCAUGGGAGACCACGACUACACUCAUGGCGGCGUGAGGUGGCUCACAACGAUGAUGUGUGGUGGUUUCCAUGGAAGCCAAAGAAGAUUGACAGAUGGAACUAGCUCGGUGGUUAGUGCUCUGCCCACUGUUCUUGAGAAUCCAAUCCCACCCAAAUCAUCCUUCAAUGAGUUGAUUGAAUCAUUAAUAUUAGUGGUUUCUCUAACCACCCCCAUUCGGAUAGCGCUAACUAAGCAGAGGAGACAAGCCAGAGUUCAGAGCAACGUCUCCUAAUGUGACUCACUCACUCUCUCUCUUCCGAUCUCCUCUCUCCCAAGUUAUCCGAUCGUAGCUAAGACCUCUGCUACUACUACUAUGGUUGUUCCUAUGGAAGAAGCCAUUGCGGCGCUAUCUACAUUCUCACUCGAGGAUGAGCAAGCAGAAGUGCAAGGACCAGGAAUUUGGGUGUUAACAGAGAGAGGUGCAACUGAAAGUCCAAUUUAGUAUAAUGAUGUUUCUGCAUAUCGCCUAUCUCUAUCAGAAGAUACAAAAAGCUCUUAAUCAACUGGUGCUUUGCUGUCUAUAUCACCACUCUUUCCAAAAAAUAUUAAAUUGUUUUGGCCAAAUCAGAUGCAAUUUCACCAAUUUUGCUAGAAAUAUCUGCUGCCUGAACUGCAAAGCUGAGGGACCAAAUAAGUGUGGAUGAAGUGAUAUUGAAAUGAAGAAAUGUGAUUGGAAUUGUCCAAACUGAGUUUCCUUUUUUUAUUGUGUCCUUCUAAUCUAAGGGGAAUAAAAAGCCUGAUAUUAAUCAUAAAAAAGUAUGCAAGGAAAAGUACAUUUGGCUGUUACUGAAUAAGUUUUGCUUUUCAUUUUUCAAUUGCUUCAUUCCUAUAAACCACUGUAAAUUCUAUUUGCAAAAGGGCAAGUUUCAAGAGAGAGCUUGAUAUUAAUCUUUGAAAUUGUGAAAGAAAGUACACUUGGAGAUGAGAAGUUCAAGUUGGAUUUCUUUCCCCUAAUUAGAUUUUUAUUUGAAAAACUACACCGUUUUUCAAAUAAUGGUCAAUUUAUUUCGUUCCAAUAUCUGAACAGCAGUCUGUUAAACUGCAUUUCUUAUUGAAAAUUUCAUUUUUUUGAAGGACUAUGUUGCCACUCGAUGGUGUUGUUCUCCAGAACUCUGUGGGUCAAUUUUUCUCAAAAUACACUCCUGCAAUAGAUAUUUGGAGCAUAGGAUGUAUUUGCUGAAAUGCUUACAGGAAAACCACUGUUUCGUUGGGAAAAUGUGAUACACCAAUUGGAUCUCAUGACUGAUUUGCUUGGCACACCACCCUCCCCAGCUGAAUCCACUGGAAGGUACUGAUGCUUUACUAGGAUGAUUGGCCUAGCUGCUGAUUAUUGUCCAAGAUUCAUUCUAUAAUUAAAAACAGAAUGCUGAAGAAGCUAAGCAAACAAUUACGUGGCGAGGAUUGGAAUUGGAACAACUUAAACACAUUAUGUUGGGCAAUAGGGUCUAUAUUUGGAUUUGAUUAUGACUAUGUUGAUUCUUUAUGACUAUGUCUUUCUUCAAUUUUUUCUACUUGACUAUUUAUACUAUUGCUUGGAGCUUUUAGAGUUUCAUUUGGGGUCUGAGACUGUAAUGCCUGUACAGUACAAAGUCACCAUUAGUAAGUAUAGCACAUACUUUCAUCUUAGCACUAGACCUUAUAUAUAUAAUUUAGUUAAAUCAGUUAUUUAGUUUAGUUAAGUUAUUGAGGGUAAUUUUGAGCUUAGUACUGGACCUUAUAUGCCUAAAUUAGUUGAAAUAGAUAGUUUAUUUAAGUAUAGAACUGUAUCUUACUUUUCUUGAUUCUUCUUUGUGGCAUGUAUAUAUUGGUGCCACUGAGAGAGCUAGUGUCAAAUAUGUCUUCACUCACUUCAACACUGAUAAUGAGCAAGGAAUCAACGAAUUAGUGACCCCAAUUUUUGUUCUAUGUAACAGAAGGGUCAGACUAAUUCUUCUUGUUUUUCUUAUUAUUGUAAAACACUUGCACUAUUCUUAAUUUGGAAGGCUUUGUGUUGGACAGCUGUAUAAUAUUUUGUGUUGAAAGUAGUAACUUUUCACUAUGUUGAAUAUUUAAGACUACUUGAAUACUUAAAGAAUAUUUUGUUGUU
Long non-coding RNA from Humulus lupulus (European hop), 2234 nucleotides. RefSeq lists it as uncharacterized. The record is from RefSeq and is a predicted model, not a curated record. NCBI's taxonomy places the organism in Eukaryota, Viridiplantae, Streptophyta, Magnoliopsida, Rosales, Cannabaceae. The transcript is spliced from 10 exons.